GCAAGUCGAGGGGUAACAGGGAGUGCUUGCACUCCGCUGACGACCGGCGCACGGGUGCGCACCGCGUAUGGAACCUACCUUUUGCAGGGGAAUAGCCCAGGGAAACUUGGAUUAAUGCCCCGUAGUACCAUUUUGCAGCAUUGCAUAAUGGUUAAAGACUUGGGGCGGCGGGAGAUGGCCAUGCGUCCCAUUAGUUUGAUGGUAAGGUAACGGCUUACCAAGACUACGAUGGAUAGGGGGGCUGAGAGGGGGAUC
This 255-nucleotide ribosomal RNA is filed under the name uncultured bacterium. Its description in RNAcentral is "partial 16S ribosomal RNA". It matches the Rfam family "Bacterial small subunit ribosomal RNA", at positions 57 to 305 of the family's 1533-position model. The record is from RNAcentral.